GAGAGAGAUAAUAAUGGUAAAAAUAUUUGCUAACGGAAAGAGUCCGGUUCAAGCAAUGAACAAGUAAAGAGAGUACUUAUUAAGAAGCGCAAGAGGCUCAAUAUUUUUACAGCGGAUUAUCAAGUUGCAUGCCCCAUUGACUCAUUCCAUCAUAUCAGCGGUACAUGAUAUAUUUGGCAAAUUUAACACACAAGUAAAUUCUACUGAGCUAAAAAAAAAAAAGAAGGGAAGAGAAAACUGUAAGUCCUACCAAAUUGCUGUAUGUGGACUCGCCCUCACAGGUAAACGCUUUUACAUUCUUAAGGUUUGCUCUAUUGAACCUAUAGGGUAUAUGAUUAAUUGAAUGUCUAGAGAUUUGGCACACAUUUUGAACCUUUUCGGUCUGUGCACGAGAUUGCAUAUUCACUUCAUUUUCAUAGCACCUUAAAUUGGUUAAAACUUUGAAAGUUAUAGAAGCUGUAAAAAUAAAAAUAAAAUAAAAUAAAAUAAAAUAUGGGAAAAACAUAUAGCAAAGCACAUCCUGUGACAGGGUGCUCAUAUGUUGAUCUUAAUAUCAUGUUUAUGCGUGUGAAUUAUGGGGAAGGAUGUUUGAAUCAAUAUGAUGUAUGGGUUAAAGAAUGUGCUUUCCCAGAAAAAGGUAGUUUUAGCCUCAGAUAGUUAGAACAACUGAAACUUAAUUUGGAGACAAAGGAGAGAGAGAGAGAGAUAUUCCUAAAAUUAAAAAAAAAAAAAAAAAGAGCGAAGUGUAGUUUUUAGCAGACAGGAAGGCAUUUGCUGAAUGGCAGAGCGAGGCACAUAAAAGAGAGAAAAAAUGUCAGGCAGGGCCUUCAUCUGUUUCUCAGUGUGCUAAAUUGCAGAAAGCCGAUCCUGACCUGGACUCCGCCCCACCACGACGUCCACAGCCAGUAAGGAGGGAGGAACCUGCAGUUUCAAAGGCACCUGCUCACGAUGAAGCGGCCUAGCCUACACCACUCUAUCCGGACCUGUCAGAACUGAGCCACCGACCCCCACCGAACUAUGCUCCAGCCGUCCUACCUUCACCGGUGGCGUUACACACGAGAUCCCAAGUGAAGGGUGCAACAACAUUGCUGCCUGAGGGCUUCAGACCGACAAAAUCGGACAGAGAAGGAACAAUGCACGCCGUGGUAAAUGCCCCAAUGCUAGAAGUGGCCGGAGAAGGAGGCCCUAUGCUAGUUCACAGACCCUGGACAUUGGAAGACAUCAGGAGCAGCAUGACGCAUCCGCUGGUGCUCCGCGAAGGAGGACGAAAGUUUGGGGAUGAACUUCAGAUAUUCUGCAGAGAAUUCAGACCCACCAUUCAUGAACUACGACGACUGCUCAUGGCAAAACUUGGCACGGACUGGGUCAAGGUUUCAUGUUAAUUCCCAGAGAACGAUGCCCGCCUGAUCAACCCACAGUGGGAUGAUUAAGUCAACGCAAGGUACAGAGCACAAAUCACGGCGCUCCAGCAGAGGCUGAUGAACACCUUUCCUGUGCGACUGGACAUGACAAAAAUAGCGAUGUGUAAACAACAAGUCACAGUACCUGUCCCGGCUCACUGAGAUCCAUGACGCAAAGUCAGGCUUGGAGAACCCCGACGCUCUGGCAGAUGGGCAGGCGGCCGUCACAGCAUGGGAAGCACAUCUCAGAAACAGCUUUAUGAACGGCAUUAAACCAGAAAUUGUCGCUAUAAUAAAACAACAAUGUAUCACCUGGGACACCGGAAACCUCACACAAGUGGAGAGGUAUGCAAUCCAUGUGGAGAAGCUCCUACGAGAGGCAAAGGAAAGAAAGAUGGAGAGGAAGACUAAAAGCUCCAUGACCACAGACUACUGUUGCAGAUUAGACACAAAUCAUUAGAUGUCAACCUGCACAUCCACUCAUACAUACAAACCUAUUCCUAAUCGUGAACCCUUCUCCUGGUAUAGGUGGUAUCUGUUAGUAAGCCCUGUCAUAGAAAUAAACUCAUAAAUCACUGGGACCGUUCCCGACAACACUGGGGGUCCGGGGGUAGACCCUUAAGCUGGAAAGAUAAACCAAAGCGCGAUAUUGAAGUUUAUUGGGUGGAAGACUUAUCGAUCAAUCACGCCAAUCACAUUUGCAGAAGAAAGAGUGCAUGAUGCACACACUUUUACCCAAAUUUGGUAUUUAGCUGAUCGUGGUGACGGGACUAAGUGCCUAAGGCGACGUGAUUUCUAUAGGUCCCACAUAAGCCUGCAAAGUUCUUUAGUAGACUAUUGCUACAGAUUGGACAACAAUUAGUAGUUAAAAGCCCAUAUGCCAAGAUAUUGGCCGCCUCUGUAAACGCCUUUCGUCAGAAGAAUCAUUGCCAACAGUGCUACCCACACAACGUCACACGUCCCCUCGUCAUGCAGACACACAAUGGUUAUUCUAUCAGUGAACACAUGCGGUCUGCGACACGCAACCCUCCACAGACUAGCGAGAUGGGGUUUGAUUGGCUGAGCUCAGUACUCGGGGGAUAGGGCUCAUGGAUAUUAACCAUCUGUCUACCAAUAGGUGCAAUAAUUCUUCUUGUCUUGCUCAUUUUGCCUUGUAUUGUUUCUCUCGUUCGGAGCAGUCUCUCACACUCGUUGAAAUCAUCAAUGACCAAACGCUGAUGUUGACAAAGACUGAGUACGAUCCCCAUGAUGAUCAACCUGACUGGGUAUCAGAUUCUCCCAGCGACACUGACGAUGACGACCCAUUGAUAUCCAUUUCACACCUAUUGUAAAUAUUCCUUUGACCAUGGCGAUUCUCAUUUCACCCUAAAAUGAGCUUGCUUGACGACAGGAUACUUUAUAUCCGCAAAAACAGACUUAGCGCCUUCAUGAUGUCUGUUUUACUCAGACAUGAAUUCAGUUGAACUGUGAAAGGAUUCUGAAGUUCUGAUGUAUUCACAGCAUUGUAAUUUCUCUGUUAGUUUUAGUUAUCAUAUUUUGUAAUGAUAAAAUGGGGGAAAUGUGAGGGAAAUUACUCAUUUUUACUUUGUAAUAAGUUUGUUGUUGUUCAUGUUCAUCUGAGGAGGACGCCUAAGAAGGCCAUGUCAUGUCACUGAGAUCAGUACAGAAUAUUUAUCUGCUUACAGACACGCAAACAUGUUCUUCUGUUCAAGGUUCGUCUGUCCAAAAUCCUAAAAGUGUGUCAUGCUCUGCUUUUCAAAUAUAUAGUAGUGGUUUAGUACAAAAUGGGGCGCAUGGUGGCUUAGUGGUUAGCAUGUUCGCCUCACACGGGUUCGAUUGUUCGGGGGUUCGAUUCCCACCGUGGCCCUGUGUGUACGGAGUUUGCAUGUUCUCCCCGUGCUGCAGGGGUUUCCUCCGGGUACUCCGGUUUCCUCCCCCAGUCCAAAGACAUACAUGGUAGGCUGAUUGUCAUGUCCAAAGUGUCUGUAGUGUAUGAAUGGGUGUGUGAAUGUGUAUGUGAUUGUGCCCUGUGAUGGAUUGGCACCCUGUCCAGGGUGUACCCCGCCUUGUGCCCCAUGCUCCCUGGGAUAGGCUCCAGGUUCCCCCGUGACCCUGAAAAGGAUAAAGCGGUAUAGAAGAUGGAUGAUUCUAUCCUGUAUUAACCAUCUUUCUGUAAUAAACCUUUUUACCUUCAGAGUACGAGUCUGCGAGUGUUGUCUAAUUUCCACGGCAAACCUCAAAGAACUUAUUUUGUUAUAGGUUUUAAAACGAAUAUGCUAUUUUGGUUACACGAGGACCAUUAAUUUUUCAUGCAUGUAACUUUCUGUAUCUUUAGCUGACUGGAUGGACAUAAAAGGAGAUUGUGACGUCCAGCCAAAACACACACGCUGUAGUUUAAUUCAUCCAAAACCACAAAAACAGAUUAGCAGAGACGGGUAUAGAGUCGUCCGUCAGACAGUCCCUCUGGGUGAGGACUGUCAACUCACGGUCUCUUAAAUCUAGAUCUAGAUUCUGGUUCAACAUUUUGACGUUCAGAAUAACAUAAGUGCAUUUGUGGAGGUGAUUAUACACAAUAUUGACUAAUGCUCGCUGAUUUAGAUGCAGCUGACACUGUGACCAAGGAUAUGUAGGACGUCUCAGACACUUUCAUUCCUAUAUGAUUCGUAAUAGAGAGAAAGCACGAAAGAGAGCGAGAGAGAGAGAGAGAAUUUCCUAACAUUGGGCUACAGCAGCUCCUCCCUCCCCUUUAGACCCUGGAAUUAAAGCAGAUUUAUCGGAAAGAGAAAGAUGGAUGAAAGAGAAAGGAUGACUGAUGACCGAGAGAAAGUGCUGUUCCUGAAAAUAAGUGUUCUAAAACUUACAUGGCUGUGUUAUAAAGACUACUUUAAAACUGAGCUAUUAUUAUAACUUUAUUCAUAUAUUUAUACCACAGUGUCAGUGAUUAAUCGAUUCUGAUUGGUCAGAAGGUGUGGAUUUAUUUUCUAUAACAGCAGUUCUGACAGUAGUGCCGUCUGUACUUCAAGUCACAGAAGCAGCCCUAAAGCAUGAUGCUGCCACCACCAUGCUUCACCGUGAAAAAGCAGCCAUUUGGAAGGAGUCCAAAGUUUUCUGCCACAGGAAACUCUUCAGGACAGAGGACUAUAACAUGAGAAGCUCAGGUUCUUUCAAAACUUCAAAUAAGAGAAAGGGAGAGACUGAUAUGGGAAUGACUGUCAAUAGCUGCAAUAACUUCAAUCACUCGAUUUGUAGAUGUUCCCCAACAUUUCAUGCAUGUUUUUAUUAUUAUUAUUUCUGAACUGUAACUAUGACUGAACAGCCAAGAGAUAUUAAAAUCUUUUUAAAUGUA
This is a long non-coding RNA of Ictalurus furcatus (blue catfish), 4746 nucleotides long. RefSeq lists it as uncharacterized. NCBI's taxonomy places the organism in Eukaryota, Metazoa, Chordata, Actinopteri, Siluriformes, Ictaluridae. The record is from RefSeq and is a predicted model, not a curated record. The transcript has 2 exons.